GGAGACGCUAGGUAAGAUUAGAGAAAUAAUUGAUCACAUCCCACUGCCAGCACCAGGGAUCACGCAGGACUGCAGGCUGCUCCUAAGGGGGAAAAACCAAACCAGAGCAAGAGGGACAUGACUUGACCAAGGUCAUCCAGACGUUCAGUGGCAGAGCCAGGAAUAGAAGCUGGGUUUCCUGACUCCCCAUCCAGUGAGCUCUCUUCAUUAAACCGUGUUGGGCAAAA
Molecule: long non-coding RNA, 227 nt
Organism: Alligator mississippiensis (American alligator)
Lineage: Eukaryota; Metazoa; Chordata; Crocodylia; Alligatoridae
Exons: 2
Source: RefSeq, a predicted model, not a curated record